Nothoprocta perdicaria is the source of this 242-nucleotide long non-coding RNA. RefSeq lists it as uncharacterized. The record is from RefSeq and is a predicted model, not a curated record. NCBI's taxonomy places the organism in Eukaryota, Metazoa, Chordata, Aves, Tinamiformes, Tinamidae. The transcript is spliced from 2 exons.
AGGGCUGAAGCAGAGCUGAAGCUAGAGAAAAGGAUUAUUGAGAACUAGAGCUGCUUUCCUGCCUUGGUCCCAGCAGGAGCCACAUGAGGAGGCAAAGCCAAACUAUUCCCAGCGGGAAGUGUAGGACCCAGCAUGUAACCAAGUGACAAGGAGAUAACUUGGAAAGUCUCCAACAGUGUCUGUGUGCCUGUGACAUCAAGUGAGCAGGUAGCACUGGAUUUAUACUACAGUUUGAUCACUUG